CCUUGAAGAACCGUGGGGGACGUGGGGUGAUGCUGGGGACUGUGGGGCUCUGCGAGGUCCCAGGUUGGCGGUGGGGGAGGUGUACCGGGUCAGAGAAAGUACUUGAGGAGCUAUGUGGGUCUGUGGGGGAGGUUGUGGGGGAUAUAGAAUGGAUAUGACAACACAGCCUGCAGGAGCAGAAUGCUGUUCAGGAGAAGACAAGAUGUGGGCUGCAAGAGGGACGCAGGAGUAUGGGGUGCUAUGGGAGGAUGUGGGGAGCAGUUUGAGGUAAAAAAAUAAAGGGGGGGAAGGGGGCAGCGGUGUAGGAGGGGUUUCAUUUCUUCCUGAGAGGGGACUGGGGGUCCAUGCAGCCCAAAGGUGGGACCCUAAGCCGUAACCCCACACGAGCCAUAAGCCAAGAUGACCUCAUCAUGUGUGUGACCCCAUGGCUGUACGUGACCCACAACCCUGGGUGAACCACACCCCCACAUGACCCUGUGACUCCCUGACCCUACCUGCCCCCAUCACGCUGCGACCCGAUGCCAUGUGGCCCCAGAACUCUGGGAUCCCUGCCCCCACCUCAACUCGACCAUAGAAACACAUGUGACCACAGAACUCCAUGUCACCCCAUCUGACCCUACCAUCUCAUCUGACCUCAUCACAGCAACCCAGAACCCCAUCUAACCCAGAACCCCACAAAACCCCAUAACACUCUGACUCUGCAGGACAGCCAUGUGACCCCCAACCCCACAUCCUCACCCCGUGUGGCCAGAGAACCAGCUGUGUGUGGGGAAAAGUCAUCGCCUCCUCAGGGUGGUACAGCCCCACGGCUGCCCCAAGGAAGCCAUGGGGCGGGCUGCUGCCGUACGUGGUCAGAGUGGCUCGGUGUGCCAGCUGUGUGCUGCUGGAAAUCACCCGACCUGUUAUGGCUGGGAGAGUGGCAGAGGAAAUCAUCAAACAUCUGCAGGGAUAGCACAAGGUAGGGUCAGUGUGACAGCUGUGUCGUUGCUCAGCAGACAGAUGCUGAGCAGAGCACAGCAGGGCCAGGAUGUACUGACCAGGGGGAGGUGGAGAGUGCACACGAGAUAAGGCACAGGUGCAGGACGGAGCAUGAGACCCAGCACGUACGACAGCUGCAAGAAAUCCUGCCUGCCUGUCUGCAUAGAAAAGCACACAAUCAGCCCAAAAGGAGCAGCUUGGCCAUAGACCUGCUCUGGAAAAACUGCACAGCGGAUGCGUGGCGGAGACUGUGAGCCUGCAGUCCUUAGCCAAGGGGGAACAGGAGAGCAGUGAGUGCCACAGGAGGAGAACUAUGGGAGCAGAAGGAACUCACUGAGGAGAGUGAAGUAACACCACAGCAACCAGGACAACUGCUGCUGGCCACGGGCCGCGGGCAGUGAUGGCGCUGCUCUAGGAUGGCUCUGGGGAUGCUAUGGUUCAUACUCAUGGAAUCUCUUCCUUAGCCCUCCACUAACCCCUGCACCCCCAUCUUACCCCCCAAGAUGUGGGCUAGAUGAGGGUCAGGGGCAGAUGUAGAGUGCUAUACUACAGCGGCCCCAGAGCCACCCUCCUGACCUAGCCAGUAACAGACCCAUCACUGCCCUCAGCCUCAUAUGGGCUUACGGUGCUCACAGGGUUAUGGGUCAUGGGGAGCCUUGGGCUCACGCCGAGUUAUAUGGCGUUUGGGGCUCACGUGGGGUUAUGGAUCAGGGCUCCACCUUUGGGCCAAAGGGAACCCCAAUCCCCUCUGAGGAAGAAAUCAACCAGUGCACUCCAACACCACCCCACAUCCUCCAUCCUAUCCGCAAACAGCUCCCCACGUGCCCUCAUACCCCCUACGUCCCCAUGCCACCCCACGUCCCCGCACCCACAAGUCCCACCUGUACCUCACACCUUGCCUUCUGCAAAGCACUCUGCUCCUGCAGGCUGUGGUCCAUAGCCCCAUAUCCUGCCCUGCACCUGCUCCAGCUCCGCAUUCCUCUCCUGCAGCAGCCACCCCUGCCCCAGCACCCUAUGGCUGUACAAGAGCUUGAUGGGGAUGGGGCUGAGGAGAGGCCUCAGGUGGGCUAUGGGGUUCCUGGGAUGGUGACAGGGGUCCUGUCAGGGACUGUGGGAAUUGGUGAGAUCCCGGGGUUGGGGUCUUGGAGGUGGGAAAGGAGGUCAGAAGGAGGAAAUAGAGGAAACACGGGGGUCCUGCAGGAGGCCAGUGGGUUACAUGGGGUGAUGCUGGGGACUGUGGGGCUCCGUGUGCGUAUGGGCCAGCUACAGGGGAGGCGUACCGGGUCUGAGGAG
Gallus gallus (chicken) is the source of this 2271-nucleotide long non-coding RNA. The record is from Ensembl. Lineage: Eukaryota; Metazoa; Chordata; Aves; Galliformes; Phasianidae.